GGGGGUGUAGAUCAGUGGUAGAGUGCUUGCCUAGCAUAACCAAGUACCAGGGUUCAAUCCCCUGUACUGCCA
This 72-nucleotide transfer RNA is filed under the name Neotoma lepida (desert woodrat). It matches the Rfam family "tRNA". Rfam says of the family: Transfer RNA (tRNA) molecules are approximately 80 nucleotides in length. Their secondary structure includes four short double-helical elements and three loops (D, anti-codon, and T loops). The record is from Rfam by way of RNAcentral. Lineage: Eukaryota; Metazoa; Chordata; Mammalia; Rodentia; Cricetidae.